This 70-nucleotide transfer RNA is filed under the name Nephrurus vertebralis. Its description in RNAcentral is "tRNA-Ile". The record is from RNAcentral. Lineage: Eukaryota; Metazoa; Chordata; Lepidosauria; Squamata; Carphodactylidae.
GGAUGCGUGCCCGAACACAAGGAUUACUUUGAUAGAGUAAAUUAUAGGGAUUUACACUCCCUGGCCUCCC